UCGAGCGCAGGAACCAGAUGACCCCUUCGGGGUGAUUCUGGCGGAAUGAGCGGCGGACGGGUGAGUAACACGUGGGCAACCUGCCUGUAAGACUGGGAUAACUUCGGGAAACCGGAGCUAAUACCGGAUAGUAUUUCCUUUCUCCUGAUUGGAAAUGGAAAGACGGUUUCGGCUGUCACUUACAGAUGGGCCCGCGGUGCAUUAGCUAGUUGGUGGGGUAAUGGCCCACCAAGGCGACGAUGCAUAGCCGACCUGAGAGGGUGAUCGGCCACACUGGGACUGAGACACGGCCCAGACUCCUACGGGAGGCAGCAGUAGGGAAUCUUCCGCAAUGGACGAAAGUCUGACGGAGCAACGCCGCGUGAGCGAUGAAGGCCUUCGGGUCGUAAAGCUCUGUUGUUAGGGAAGAACAAGUACGAGAGUAACUGCUCGUACCUUGACGGUACCUAACCAGAAAGCCCCGGCUAACUACGUGCCAGCAGCCGCGGUAAUACGUAGGGGGCAAGCGUUGUCCGGAAUUAUUGGGCGUAAAGGGCUCGUAGGCGGUUUCUUAAGUCUGAUGUGAAAGCCCACAGCUCAACUGUGGAGGGUCAUUGGAAACUGGGGAACUUGAGUGCAGAAGAGGAGAGUGGAAUUCCACGUGUAGCGGUGAAAUGCGUAGAUAUGUGGAGGAACACCAGUGGCGAAGGCGACUCUCUGG
This 700-nucleotide ribosomal RNA is filed under the name Terribacillus saccharophilus. Its description in RNAcentral is "bacterial SSU rRNA". It matches the Rfam family "Bacterial small subunit ribosomal RNA", at positions 62 to 732 of the family's 1533-position model. The record is from RNAcentral. Lineage: Bacteria; Bacillati; Bacillota; Bacilli; Caryophanales; Bacillaceae.